GGUAAAAGAAGGCUCAGAUAAUUUCAAUGGAACUAGCUUCUAAGCCCUACAGAGAACCUCUUUAUAAGAAUUCAAAACAGAAAAGGCAAACUGUGGUAGCUAAUGGUCACCCCUAUUCCACUUCAUUCUCUGGAAACUGUACAACCAGUAAAAAGGACUUCUAAAAAAGGUAUAAAGAAAAGGAUCUAAAUGACUGCAAAGCUGGAAUAUGGCUACAGGUUGUGUGGGAGUUCUAAAACCCUUGAUAAAAAUUGGAAGUCUGCCAUAGAACCCAUUAGUUUGGGCAAUAAUCAGCAAAAGCAAGAAAAUAAACGAGUAAAUCCCCCUCCCCCACUUCUCAAGGCAUAAACAAAUUUUAGUGUUAGAGGAAAAUAUAUAAUACUUACAUGAAUGCUGCAUGUGUGCAUGGGAGCGAGUGAUCAGCAAUAGAAAAUUUACUUUCCAAAAAAGCCUUAUUAAAAUAUAAAUACUAGAAAAUUACUUUGUAGACCCAAGUAAAUAUUUCUCAUACAUAUAUAGAAAGAAAAUAGAUGAGACUUACCUCAGUAUUUUAGGGCCACAAAGUGCUCAAUUAUCUUUGUCAAGCAAAGAUGAAGCAGCAUGGCAAAGUCAAAUCAGCAAGGAGAAACUUCAUCUCAAUCCCAGGUUUUAUCUUCUUCCCUUAUCCUGCAUGUGCAAUAACUGCUACCUGACAAACUGCAAAUAAGCAGCAUCACUCAAGUUUCAAGUUUCACCUCUCUUCUGCAAACUGCCCCCUUGGCAAGUGUAUCCAGCAGGAGGUGAAAUGGCUAGAGCACUGAGUUGAGACUUCUGUAUUACUCUUGUCAAGUUACUUGCCUGUUUGGGCUCCUUUAUCCCCCAUGCAUAAAAAGUGAAGAAGCAGAGUGGGAAGGGAGCUCUACCAGCUCUUCAGCUCUAGCAUUCUAUGACUUUUUAAGGCAAUAUAAUACAGCUCAAGUCAGGCAAUACAGAAAGGAAAAGGCAGAGGAUGUGAUUAAUCUAUGGUAACAACACCACCUUCACAUAUCUAGGAGUCACUGGUAAAAGACAUUCCAAUCUUACAGAGAAAAUGUUAGAAUAAUUUCUGUCUAGCACUGUCACAAAUAGGUUCAGGGUCAGCCUAAGCAUGUGCACUGUACAUUGUAUUGGUGAUUUGGAAAGAUCUGUUCGAUUAUUUUUCAGAAACUCAAUUUUCAAUCAAAUAAAAUGAUAUGCAUACAAUUCAAAUAAAU
Molecule: long non-coding RNA, 1232 nt
Filed under: Marmota monax (woodchuck)
Lineage: Eukaryota; Metazoa; Chordata; Mammalia; Rodentia; Sciuridae
Source: RNAcentral